GACGAACGCUGGCGGCGUGCCUAACACAUGCAAGUUGAGCGACGAACCAGGGCUUGCCCUGGGGCAAAGCAGCGAACGGGUGAGUAACACGUGGGUAACCUACCCCGAUAACCGGGACAACCCGAGGAAACUCGGGCUAAUACCGGAUGUUCUCACUGGACUUCGGUUCAGUGCGUAAAGGAAGCUUCGGCCUCCGUAUCGGGAGGGGCCCGCGGCCCAUUAGUUUGUUGGUGAGGUAACGGCUCACCAAGACCGCGAUGGGUAGCUGGUCUGAGAGGACGAUCAGCCACACUGGGACUGAGACACGGCCCAGACUCCUACGGGAGGCAGCAGUGGGGAAUCUUGCGCAAUGCGCGAAAGCGUGACGCAGCAACGCCGCGUGGGGGAAGAAGGCCUUCGGGUUGUAAACCCCUUUCAGGAGGGACGAAGGUUCGGCGGUGAAUAGCCGUCCGGACUGACGGUACCUCCACAAGAAGCCCCGGCUAACUACGUG
This 493-nucleotide ribosomal RNA is filed under the name uncultured bacterium. RNAcentral describes it as "partial 16S ribosomal RNA". It matches the Rfam family "Bacterial small subunit ribosomal RNA", at positions 28 to 507 of the family's 1533-position model. The record is from RNAcentral.